RNAcentral lists this ribosomal RNA (427 nucleotides) under uncultured bacterium. RNAcentral's name for it is "partial 16S ribosomal RNA". It matches the Rfam family "Bacterial small subunit ribosomal RNA", at positions 355 to 774 of the family's 1533-position model. The record is from RNAcentral.
UGGGGAAUAUUGGACAAUGGGCGCAAGCCUGAUCCAGCCAUGCCGCGUGUGUGAAGAAGGUCUUCGGAUUGUAAAGCACUUUAAGUUGGGAGGAAGGGCAUUAACCUAAUACGUUAGUGUUUUGACGUUACCGACAGAAUAAGCACCGGCUAACUCUGUGCCAGCAGCCGCGGUAAUACAGAGGGUGCAAGCGUUAAUCGGAAUUACUGGGCGUAAAGCGCGCGUAGGUGGUUUGUUAAGUUGGAUGUGAAAUCCCCGGGCUCAACCUGGGAACUGCAUUCAAAACUGACUGACUAGAGUAUGGUAGAGGGUGGUGGAAUUUCCUGUGUAGCGGUGAAAUGCGUAGAUAUAGGAAGGAACACCAGUGGCGAAGGCGGCCACCUGGACUAAUACUGACACUGAGGUGCGAAAGCGUGGGGAGCAAACA